CCAAUAGCGUAUAUUAAAGUUGUUGCAGUUAAAAAGCUCGUAGUUGAAUUUCGGGAUCAGUACGCCGGUCGUGCCUCGGUAUGUACUGGUGUUACUGGUUCCUACCUUCUGACGAACCGUCAUGUCAUUAAUUUGGUGUGGCGGGGAAUCAGGACUGUUACUUUGAAAAAAUUAGAGUGUUUAAAGCAGGCUCGCGCUUGAAUACAUUAGCAUGGAAUAAUGAAAUAGGACGUUCGAUCCUAUUUUGUUGGUUCCUAGGAUUGACGUAAUGAUUAAUAGGGGUAGUUGGGGGCAUUAGUAUUCAAUUGUCAGAGGUGAAAAUCUUGGAUUUAUUGAAGACUAACUACUGCGAAAGCAUUUGCCAAGGAUGUUUUCAUUAAUCAAGAACGAAAGUUAGGGGAUCGAAGACGAUCAGAUACCGUCGUAGUCUUAACCAUAAACUAUGCCGACUAGGGAUCGGAUGAUGUUAUUUUUAGUGACUCAUUCGGCGCCUUACG
Molecule: ribosomal RNA, 497 nt
Filed under: uncultured Glomeromycotina
Lineage: Eukaryota; Fungi; Glomeromycota
Description: partial small subunit ribosomal RNA
Rfam family: Eukaryotic small subunit ribosomal RNA
Source: RNAcentral